Cotesia glomerata is the source of this 1249-nucleotide long non-coding RNA. RefSeq lists it as uncharacterized. The record is from RefSeq and is a predicted model, not a curated record. The transcript has 3 exons. Lineage: Eukaryota; Metazoa; Arthropoda; Insecta; Hymenoptera; Braconidae.
CAUUACUGUAAAAAAAUCUGAAUUUUUUCUUUCUUUACAGGGCUGAUAUAUAGAUAGCUACCAUACACCGAUUACUUGAGUUCCUCCAGUGGUUGUCUGCCCUUUCUCCAGACUAGAUCAUCUUAUUUACUUUCAACUUAUUGAAACUUCUACUGCCUGCUUAGAAUAAUUUUCUACCAAUCGUCUGAAUCUCAAGCUCACUAACGGUACCGCCCAUCGAAACUUAAAGAUUCUUAUGUUUAUUAAACUCCGUUUUACGUUAAUGAUUAAAAAUCAUUAAUCAUAUAGAUAAGAAUUACUAGAAAUCAAUUAUAUACGAAUUUAUAUCAGAAAAUGACGCGCUAAAAGUUAAAAUCAAUAAGAAAAAAACGUUAGUUAGAGUGAUUUAUGUGACUCAAGCAGAAUAAAAUUUUCUACUCUGAUAAAAUGAUUGAUAAGAUAAAAAUAGAACGAAAAUAAUUGAUACAUCAAUCAAUUUAUAAAAGUAUAUUUAUAUUUAUUAACGCAUUAUAGUAAUCUACUGUUAAUAUUAAUUGACAGAAAUAGUCUAGAAGCGACGUUUGGUCUGGUCUUUCUAGUUAUUUAAAAACUUUAUUUUAAAAGUAUUACGUACGCUCAUACCAAAGCCGAUAUAUACGAAUUCCUUAUAGGCGGUUUGAUAAAUAAUUCAUGGCGUUCUACGAAAUAUCAGUGAAAUUCAAAAAAAUAUUUUGCUAUUCAAGAAGAUAACAGCAAUAAAAGCAUGUAAUCGUGAAAAACAUUCUAAAAAUAAAUCUUCAAUACAUAUAAACAUAUAAACAUCUUUGUAAUAUAUAUUUAGAAAAGAAAUAUAUUUUUCAAGGAUUUUUAUUAUCGAUUGUGGUUGUUUUAUUUUUCUUCAUACAUAAGAGAUGUGUAUAAAUUUAUCAAUACCUUCUUGAAUGGGUCACAAAGAAAGAUAAGUUUUUAAGCGAGCAUUACUAAAUUUUUUUUUCUUGCGUAAUACUUAUUCCCGAUUGUGAGUAUAUUCUCGCAUUAAACUACUUUUUUUUAAAGCAUAAAUAACAAUUUACUAAAAAAAACUAAUAAAAAAGAUAACAUAAUUUAAAAAUGAAACGAAUUUUGAAAUUAAACAGCCAAAGUUGUUCAGAUAAGAUAAAGAAAAAUGAAACAAACAACUCGGAUAAAAACAAUAUUUGUUUUUCCUAUAAUUCUGUUGUAUCGCAAGAACAAAAAAUGACUCAAAGACUCAAAUCAAGUGCUUGAUUAU